This 505-nucleotide long non-coding RNA is filed under the name Rattus norvegicus (Norway rat). Its description in RNAcentral is "long non-coding RNA NONRATT009275". The record is from RNAcentral. Lineage: Eukaryota; Metazoa; Chordata; Mammalia; Rodentia; Muridae.
CUCCCUCCCUCCCUCCCUCCCUUCCUUCCUUCCUUCCUUCCUUCCUUCCUUCCUUCCUUCCUUCCUUCGCUGUGGAGAGCUGGAGCUUCUGCACUCUAUCCUAGUCUUUCUCACUGUGCAGAGAAAACAUCACAUAAACAUAGGGCAGGUUAUAUCUUCAUGAGAAGUUAUAAGGGUUGUGGUUUGGAACUAUCUACUAAUGUUUAUGAAAGUCAUAUAAUUUGAUGCACAAAUGAAAAAAUGAAUGUUGAUAGAAUACAUAGACUUGACAUUAGAUUUUCUUUAAAAUUUUUUGACAGUGAGAUUAUUGUCUGAAAUUCUUAGGGGACUCUUUGGCAUCUCAGCUGAAUCUAAUGAAAUCUGUAUUGCAAAAUAUGUAUUCUCUAGUACAGUUUGAACAAUUAAAUAGAUCGAUAAGCAUAUACCUGUGUGAAUGAUUCUUUGGAAAAAAUUUGCUUGUGUUUAACCUUCUUGUAUGUAAAUUAAAUAUAUUAUUAUUGGCAAA